This 73-nucleotide transfer RNA is filed under the name Limosilactobacillus mucosae. RNAcentral's name for it is "Lactobacillus mucosae tRNA-Asn". It matches the Rfam family "tRNA". From Rfam's summary of the family: Transfer RNA (tRNA) molecules are approximately 80 nucleotides in length. The record is from RNAcentral. Lineage: Bacteria; Bacillati; Bacillota; Bacilli; Lactobacillales; Lactobacillaceae.
GUAUCCUUAGCUCAGUUGGUAGAGCGUCCGGCUGUUAACCGGAUUGCCGCAGGUUCAAGUCCUGUAGGAUACG